This is a long non-coding RNA of Leopardus geoffroyi (Geoffroy's cat), 1202 nucleotides long. RefSeq lists it as uncharacterized. The record is from RefSeq and is a predicted model, not a curated record. Lineage: Eukaryota; Metazoa; Chordata; Mammalia; Carnivora; Felidae. The transcript is spliced from 3 exons.
UCCCUUAAAAGCCAGAGGGAUGUUCGGUGUUCAUGUCUCAGGAAUGUGAGGUCUGGCUGUGAGCAAGGAAACCUGAUUCUGAACCCAUCCCGCAAGUCCUUGACGCUGAUGUCACAGUGGGACUCCCAGGGGACGCUGAUGUCACAAUGGGACUCCCCGGGGGGCCGAGUGCUCCUCCUGGGGGCCGGACGGCUGGGGCUGGGGCGUCUGGGUCCCGGGAGGCUGAGCCCUGGUCAGCCCCCAAGCAGCUCCAUGCAGGUUCCCUGAGAGGAAGCGGAGUCUCCCUGGCUGAGCUGCCAGGCCACAGGCGAGUCCGCCCCACAUCCUUCCAUUCCCGUGGGAACAGAGAGGGUGCCCUGCGGUGACGUUUUCACAGCUCCUCUGCGUGUGACCAAGGAACCGUGCAUCUCCAGGGGCCCAGAAGCCUCCUGCAGCCCCCUCUUGGACAUCACCAUCCUCAGACGGAAGGACUCUUCUGACACAGCAUCACCUUACCCGAGUCAUUUGUCAACAUUUCGAGAAUCCUCUGUGUUGCUCUUUCGGAGGCUCAAGAAGUAAUCCCCCCAACGUCACUUGGUUAUGAACUGGAGCAGGAUUCAAACUCAAGACUCUCCCAACCCCUCCCAAUCCUUCCAUCUCCUGGCCCAGGGCCCCGAAAGAUGGUUGGAGACUCUGGUUCCCAUCCGGCACACUGGGCGGCAGGGAGCCCUUGCCGGAGUUCUCUGCAUCUCCUGGGGAGCUGUUUUUUUCUGUCAGCGGCUGCCCAGGUUCCCAGGACAGCUCCUGGCCAGAUGGGGAGAAGCAGCAGCAGCCCGCCAUCCUGUGCCCAAGGUGCGCGAGAGGAGCAAGAUGCAGAAAGCUCUUUUACAGAAAAGCGUCUCGUGUGUAUUUGAGCUGAGAACACUUCAUCCAGCAGAAAGCAACAGAUUCAGGGCUGGAAAGACGGAGAAGACAGGGUGCGGCCGGAACAGGGAGUGAGACAGUUUCUCUUGUAUGAGUUAUAACGCUACGCCUAGGAGCUCGAAGCCUCCACAUUGUUGCCAACUUGGAAAUGAAGUUUGUCAAACCAUGGGUCCGUUCGUAGAAGGCAGAACUAACUCUGAGGGGACUAUGUCCAGUGUUGUCUUUUUUUUUUUUUUAAGUUCAAAUUACAAAAAUAUGUGAAGAAUACUAAUACUGUAAGAGAGCAAAAGCGGGUGUGU